GAUGAACGCUGGCGGCGUGCCUAACACAUGCAAGUCGAGCGAUUUACUUCGGUAAAGAGCGGCGGACGGGUGAGUAACGCGUGGGUAACCUGCCCUGUACACGGAUAACAUACCGAAAGGUAUGCUAAUACGAGAUAAUAUACUUUUAUCGCAUGGUAGAAGUAUCAAAGCUUUUGCGGUACAGGAUGGACCCGCGUCUGAUUAGCUAGUUGGUAAGGUAACGGCUUACCAAGGCGACGAUCAGUAGCCGACCUGAGAGGGUGAUCGGCCACAUUGGAACUGAGACACGGUCCAAACUCCUACGGGAGGCAGCAGUGGGGAAUAUUGCACAAUGGGCGAAAGCUUGAUGCAGCAACGCCGCGUGAGCGAUGAAGGCCUUCGGGUCGUAAAGCUCUGUCCUCAAGGAAGAUAAUGACGGUACUUGAGGAGGAAGCCCCGGCUAACUACGUGCCAGCAGCCGCGGUAA
This 466-nucleotide ribosomal RNA is filed under the name uncultured bacterium. RNAcentral describes it as "partial 16S ribosomal RNA". It matches the Rfam family "Bacterial small subunit ribosomal RNA", at positions 28 to 523 of the family's 1533-position model. The record is from RNAcentral.